UACGUAGAGUGCGAGCGUUGUCCGGAAUUACUGGGCGUAAAGAGCUCGUAGGCGGUCUGUCGCGUCGGUCGUGAAAACUUGGGGCUUAACCCUGAGCUUGCGGUCGAUACGGGCAUGACUGGAGUUCGGUAGGGGAGACUGGAAUUCCUGGUGUAGCGGUGAAAUGCAUUGAGAUCGGAAAGAACACCAACGGCGAAAGCACUCUGCUGGGCCGACACUGACACUGAGAGACGAAAGCUAGGGGAGCAAAUGGG
Molecule: ribosomal RNA, 254 nt
Filed under: uncultured bacterium
Lineage: Bacteria
Description: partial 16S ribosomal RNA
Rfam family: Bacterial small subunit ribosomal RNA
Source: RNAcentral